Molecule: long non-coding RNA, 1017 nt
Filed under: Manacus vitellinus (golden-collared manakin)
Lineage: Eukaryota; Metazoa; Chordata; Aves; Passeriformes; Pipridae
Description: lncRNA (ENSMVIG00005002723.1)
Source: RNAcentral
AUGGGGCUGGCAACUUGCCCACCUGCAGCACUGGGCUCCAGUAGGAGCUUCUCAUCCAGCUGUUUAAAGGUAAAGGAGUUAGGGGAGAGUCUGUUCUGUCACAUGCAGGUGCUUCAUCCCAUUCUGAGAGGUCCCAUCCCUCCCUGGGCAGCAGGUGUGGGGUGCACUCUGUGCCUGAGCUGGGUGAGCCCACUGGUGACGUGCCAGAGGAAGGUCCUGCAGUUUUGGCUGUGCUCUUUUCUCUCCUGGCUCUUUGAAGUGCUGGCAGCAGGCUCUGGCUCUCAGGACUCCCGUGUCCUCGUUCCUGGGAUUGCACAGCUGCUGAGGACACACUUCUCUGCAGCCCAGGGCAUCUCACCUUGCACCUGCAGAACAUCAAGUGAUAAAAGAAGCACAAACACACCAGCCCUUUCCUCCCCAGCCCCACAAAUGCUUUGCAGAGGGCUCUCUCCUGUGAGAGGAGGGUCGGAGGUUCCCAACAGGCUGGCACAGGUGCCUCAGGGAACUCUGCCUGUCAGUGCAGUGCUGAAGUUUGCACUUCUGGUUGCUGAUGCCCAAAUUCACCACUUUUUCACCAGGGAAACCAGUUUAUUUCUGGGUCCAGGCUCAGCAGCAGCACUUUUUCAGCCUGAAGUAUUUAUAUCACUGACAUCAGCUGGUCUCACUCCCUGCAUACUGGGGUCACAGAGCUUCCCCAGAUUAAUUAACAGCAGCAAAUCCAUUACAACAUCUUUGAAUGUUGUUCCAAUUAUAUCCCAUUACAUUUCUCUUCCACAUGGAAUGUGCAGGGUUUCAGUUUUCCUGCUUGUGUGUCUUGUGCCUUACCUGCUGGCUGAAAGUUUUCUCAGAAACCACAUUUUUGGGUUGAAUUCCCCCAUGAUGAUGUCACAUGUAGCAAGGCCUGGAAUCUCCUGCUGUAGAGCAGAUGAUGGAGCUCCUCUGAGCUCCAGCAUCUGCCUCCAGCUGUGGAUGCUGCAGCGGGAGGUGGUGUCUCUGAUGGCCUCUGUGUUCCUCUGA